AUCUUUUCCGGCGCUGGCUCCUCUCGGUCAGUGCGGUUUCGCCUUUAUGGUGGUGGAGUCCGCCCAGGCUGUGGGACUAUCAGUCCUCCCUGUGCGGCCAGUUCGGAGAGGCUGCACGCUCUCUCGGCUCACUGCAACCUCUGCAACCUCUGCCUCCAGGGUCAAGCAGUUCUCCUGCCUCAGCCUUCCGAGUACCUGGGAUUACAGGACCGCAAAUAACCCUGUACAAAGAGGAAUGGAGAUUGCCUCUAUCCAGCUAGAUUCAUAAGCUGGCCUGAGGUGAUCUUGGCAUCAAGGAAGGGAUGCACAUCAUCACACCAUCAGCUUCAGAGCAUGGCAGCCAUUUAUUUGUCCCGUGGGUUUUUUUCCAGGGAACCAAUCUGCCCUUUUGAAGAAAAGACAAAGGUAGAAAGGAUGGUGGAGGACUCCCUGGCAAAUGGUUAUCAGUGAAUAUUGGUGGAAGUGUUCAUUGGCUCAAACCAGCAUGUGUGUGAUGACAUAGGAUUCAGUGACGUUUGAUGAUGUGGCUGUGGACUUCACCCCAGAGGAGUGGGC
This 555-nucleotide small RNA is filed under the name Pan troglodytes (chimpanzee). RNAcentral's name for it is "processed transcript". Lineage: Eukaryota; Metazoa; Chordata; Mammalia; Primates; Hominidae. The record is from RNAcentral.